Molecule: ribosomal RNA, 386 nt
Filed under: uncultured prokaryote
Description: bacterial SSU rRNA
Rfam family: Archaeal small subunit ribosomal RNA
Source: RNAcentral
GCGCGAAAACUUUACAAUGCUGGCAACAGCGAUAAGGGAACCUCGAGUGCCAGGUUACAAAUCUGGAUGUCGAGAUGCCUAAAAAGCAUUUCAUAGCAAGGGCCGGGCAAGACCGGUGCCAGCCGCCGCGGUAACACCGGCGGCUCGAGUGGUAACCGUUAUUAUUGGGUCUAAAGGGUCUGUAGCCGGCCGGAUAAGUCUCUUGAGAAAUCUGGCAGCUUAACUGUCAGGCUUUCAGGAGAUACAGUCUGGCUCGAGGCCGGGAGAGGUGAGAGGUACUUCAGGGGUAGAGGUGAAAUCUUGUAAUCCUUGAAGGACCACCAGUGGCGAAGGCGUCUCACCAGAACGGAGCUGACGGCAAGGGACGAAAGCUAGGGGCACGAACC